GACAGAGGGUGCAAACGUUGUUCGGAAUUACUGGGCGUAAAGCGUGUGUAGGCUGCUACAUAAGUCGGAUGUGAAAGCCCCGGGCUCAACCCGGGAAGUGCACUCGAUACUGCGUAGCUUGAGUCUCGGAGAGGUUGGUGGAAUUCUCGGUGUAGAGGUGAAAUUCGUAGAUAUCGAGAGGAACACCGGUGGCGAAGGCGGCCAACUGGACGAAGACUGACGCUGAGACACGAAAGCGUGGGAAGCAAACAGG
RNAcentral lists this ribosomal RNA (253 nucleotides) under uncultured bacterium. RNAcentral describes it as "partial 16S ribosomal RNA". It matches the Rfam family "Bacterial small subunit ribosomal RNA", at positions 524 to 776 of the family's 1533-position model. The record is from RNAcentral.